RNAcentral lists this ribosomal RNA (253 nucleotides) under uncultured bacterium. RNAcentral's name for it is "partial 16S ribosomal RNA". It matches the Rfam family "Bacterial small subunit ribosomal RNA", at positions 524 to 776 of the family's 1533-position model. The record is from RNAcentral.
UACGUAGGGGGCGAGCGUUGCCCGGAUUUAUUGGGCGUAAAGAGCGUGUAGGCGGCUUUACAGGUCCGUUGUGAAAACUCGAGGCUCAACCUCGAGACGCCGGUGGAAACCGUAAAGCUAGAGUCCGGAAGAGGAGAGUGGAAUUCCUGGUGUAGCGGUGAAAUGCGCAGAUAUCAGGAGGAACACCCGUGGCGAAAGCGGCUCUCUGGGACGGUACUGACGCUGAGACGCGAAAGCGUGGGGAGCAAACAGG